AAGAGGUUAAUCUAAAAACAAGACUAUUGAUUUCGACUCAAUAAACUGUGUUUAAUAACACAACCUCUUC
RNAcentral lists this transfer RNA (70 nucleotides) under Microcaecilia unicolor. RNAcentral describes it as "tRNA-Arg". The record is from RNAcentral. Lineage: Eukaryota; Metazoa; Chordata; Amphibia; Gymnophiona; Siphonopidae.